Molecule: ribosomal RNA, 440 nt
Filed under: uncultured bacterium
Lineage: Bacteria
Description: partial 16S ribosomal RNA
Rfam family: Bacterial small subunit ribosomal RNA
Source: RNAcentral
CCUACGGGUGGCAGCAGUGGGGGAUAUUGCACAAUGGGGGAAACCCUGAUGCAGCGACGCCGCGUGUGGGAAGACGGUCUUCUGGAUUGUAAACCACUGUCCCCAGGGACGAAAAUGACGGUACCUGGGGUGGAAGCUCCGGCUAACUACGUGCCAGAAGCCGCGGUAAGACGUAGGGAGCAAGCGUUGUCCGGAUUUACUGGGUGUAAAGGGAGCGUAGGGGGGGAUGCAAGUUGGGUGUAAAAACUACCGGUUCAACCGAGAGUCGCACUCAAAACUGCAGCGCUUGAGUGAAGUAGAGGCAGGCGGAAUGCAUGGUGUAGCGGUGAAAUGCGUAGAUAUCAGGAGGAACACCAGUGGCGAAGGCGGCCUGCUGGGCUUUUACUGACGCUGAGGCUCGAAAGUGUGGGGAGCAAACAGGAUUAGAUACCCUGGUAGUC